RNAcentral lists this ribosomal RNA (354 nucleotides) under Babesia vogeli. RNAcentral describes it as "SSU rRNA". It matches the Rfam family "Eukaryotic small subunit ribosomal RNA", at positions 448 to 857 of the family's 1831-position model. The record is from RNAcentral. Lineage: Eukaryota; Apicomplexa; Aconoidasida; Piroplasmida; Babesiidae.
AUCCUGACACAGGGAGGUAGUGACAAGAAAUAACAAUACAGGGGUAAUGUCUUGUAAUUGGAAUGAUGGUGACCCAAACCCUCACCAGAGUAGCAAUUGGAGGGCAAGUCUGGUGCCAGCAGCCGCGGUAAUUCCAGCUCCAAUAGCGUAUAUUAAACUUGUUGCAGUUAAAAAGCUCGUAGUUGAAUUUUAGCGUGUUCGAGUUUGCCAUUCGUUUGGCUUUUUCGAGUUCGCUUUUGGGUUUUCCCUUUUUACUUUGAGAAAAUUAGAGUGUUUCAUGCUAGACUUUUGUCUUGAUAUCCUUUAUCAUGAAAUAAUUGAGUAGUACUUAGAUUCAAUGUGGGGUUAUAAAAC